AUCCAGCUGACGAGUCCUAAAUAGGAUGAAAACGCGCAUCGAAAUGGAU
This 49-nucleotide non-coding RNA is filed under the name Schistosoma mansoni. The record is from RNAcentral. Lineage: Eukaryota; Metazoa; Platyhelminthes; Trematoda; Strigeidida; Schistosomatidae.